This 1653-nucleotide long non-coding RNA is filed under the name Mus musculus (house mouse). Its description in RNAcentral is "long non-coding RNA chr7:73422249-73423902". Lineage: Eukaryota; Metazoa; Chordata; Mammalia; Rodentia; Muridae. The record is from RNAcentral.
GUAAAAGGCAUGUGUGACUAACUCACCACACGAGUUUCUGGAGCAAGGCAUGUCAGAAGGUGGAGAAAGCAUUCUACAAAGAGCAGAGUAUGCGGGGGUGUGUGUGUGUGUGUGUGUGACGACCUGGAGCAGCCCAGCCCAGAGCUCAUAAGACCUUGAUCCCUCUCGCUGCCAUAGACCUGAGAACCCUGAGCAGUGGCUGAAGAAGGUAGGGAAGCAUAUAGCUGCUCUCAGUCCCCUCUCAUUCCUCCUUCAGGAACAGGAUGGCUCCAAUCCUCUGGACUCUGGUGGCAAAAAAAAAAAAAAAAAAAAAAAAAAAAAAAAAAAAGAGAGAGAUCUAAACAUUGGAAGAACCGGGCAGCAUGUGGGUUAUCUGCGGUUAGGCUGGAGUCUGUGUGCGCCUGCUGCCCUCUGCAGGACAGUUCUAGAAUUACACUUACUCUGGGAUGCUAUGUCAGAUACAGAGAUGGUCCCACCUAGGGAGGCAUGCUAGUGAGUUUUCUGUCAGCCUGAGUCACCUGGGAAGAGGAAACCUUAAUUAAGAAAACGCCUCCAUCAGAUUAGCUUAUAGGCAAGUCUGUAGGGGCAUUUUCUUGAUUAAUGAUGAUGUAGGAGGGCCAAGGCAACGGUGGGUGGAAGGGACCACCAGGGCUGAGUGUGCCACGGAGGGCAAGCCAGUAGGCACCAUUCCUGUGGCUUCUGCUUCAGUUCCUGCCUCAAAUUCCCGCCCUGACUUCUCUGCAUGUUUGGAAGGGCUAAAAUGAAACAAACCCUUUUAUUCCCCAAGUUGCUUUUGGUCAAUGAAGUGAAACAUGAAGACUCUUUGGAAAGACAGUUGGAGGGUGUUUUGUUAGGACAAACACGUGAAGGAAUGUUUCAUUAAAGUGGACACAGGUGUAAAAAGCUAAGGCGGAUUCGUGAAGGAAUGCUUAGCUGAAGCAGACACAGGAGAAAUGAUGUUCUACUAAAGCAAGCACGUGAAAGGACGUGUGAUGAAGGAUUCUUGGCUAAUGACAGGCAUCGUCCACCUCACAUUGCAUUUGUCGGGAAACCAUGGAGAGAAAUGCACCAAAAACUUGUGGCGGUGUGCUGUAGUUUGUUGCCACUUUCAAGGACUCGGGCUGACUGGAUGCAUGUGCUGAGGCAGGACACGUGGAGGACACGUGAUGCUUGGAGGGUAGAAAUAGGACUCCACAGAAUGACGAAGAGAGCUUGGCUUGCUGGUACAGCUGGCUGUGUAACGCUUGUGGGUCUCUCGUCUUCACUGAUCUUCGCUUCCCUGAGAGAUGCACAGCUGAGAACUUCUCCCGGGGCCCCUUCUGCUGUCUGGAGCUGAGGCUGAGGCCCGGCUGUCUCUGCUAGGUAGUGUCACUGCUGUUGCUAACCUGAUUCUUCUGAACUGGGCUCCUGGUGCAUCUGUGAGGUAGUUUAUCUGUGAGGUGUUUGCGAGUGGAUGGAGCUGCCACUGCCUGCUAACCUGUGAACUGAACUGCAGAUUUCCAGACAACAGACAGGAGUUGCUCCAAAUAACCUUUCUAAACAAGUCCACUUCCCUCUACCCCCACCCCCAUAUCCUUUUUACUAACUCUGAAGGGGGGGGGGGCUACAAGAAAGGUUAAAGCGUUUAAGAACCAUCAUUAAAAACAGGAUUUG